Molecule: ribosomal RNA, 602 nt
Filed under: Staphylococcus sp. YNUTCM YJ223
Lineage: Bacteria; Bacillati; Bacillota; Bacilli; Caryophanales; Staphylococcaceae
Description: bacterial SSU rRNA
Rfam family: Bacterial small subunit ribosomal RNA
Source: RNAcentral
AUGCAGUCGAGCGAACAGAUAAGGAGCUUGCUCCUUUGAAGUUAGCGGCGGACGGGUGAGUAACACGUGGGUAACCUACCUAUAAGACUGGGAUAACUUCGGGAAACCGGAGCUAAUACCGGAUAACAUUUAGAACCGCAUGGUUCUAAAGUGAAAGAUGGUUUUGCUAUCACUUAUAGAUGGACCCGCGCCGUAUUAGCUAGUUGGUAAGGUAACGGCUUACCAAGGCGACGAUACGUAGCCGACCUGAGAGGGUGAUCGGCCACACUGGAACUGAGACACGGUCCAGACUCCUACGGGAGGCAGCAGUAGGGAAUCUUCCGCAAUGGGCGAAAGCCUGACGGAGCAACGCCGCGUGAGUGAUGAAGGGUUUCGGCUCGUAAAACUCUGUUAUUAGGGAAGAACAAAUGUGUAAGUAACUGUGCACAUCUUGACGGUACCUAAUCAGAAAGCCACGGCUAACUACGUGCCAGCAGCCGCGGUAAUACGUAGGUGGCAAGCGUUAUCCGGAAUUAUUGGGCGUAAAGCGCGCGUAGGCGGUUUCUUAAGUCUGAUGUGAAAGCCCACGGCUCAACCGUGGAGGGUCAUUGGAAACUGGGAAA